UGGGGAAUUGUUCACAAUGGGCGCAAGCCUGAUGACGCAACGCCGCGUGGGGGAUGAAGGUCUUCGGAUCGUAAACCCCUGUCGAAUGGGACGAAAGACUCGCGAGUUAAUACUGCGCGAGAGUGACGGUACCGUUAAAGGAAGCCACGGCUAACUCUGUGCCAGCAGCCGCGGUAAUACAGAGGUGGCAAGCGUUGUUCGGAAUUACUGGGCGUAAAGGGCGCGUAGGCGGCCUACUAAGUCAGACGUGAAAUCCCCCGGCUUAACCUGGGAACUGCGUCUGAUACUGGAAGGCUUGAGGAUGGGAGAGGGAUGUAGAAUUCCAGGUGUAGCGGUGAAAUGCGUAGAUAUCUGGAGGAAUACCGGUGGCGAAGGCGGCAUCCUGGACCAUUACUGACGCUGAGGCGCGAAAGCUAGGGGAGCAAACGGG
Molecule: ribosomal RNA, 430 nt
Filed under: uncultured bacterium
Lineage: Bacteria
Description: bacterial SSU rRNA
Rfam family: Bacterial small subunit ribosomal RNA
Source: RNAcentral